Molecule: ribosomal RNA, 520 nt
Filed under: uncultured Glomeromycotina
Lineage: Eukaryota; Fungi; Glomeromycota
Description: SSU rRNA
Rfam family: Eukaryotic small subunit ribosomal RNA
Source: RNAcentral
AGCAGCCGCGGUAAUUCCAGCUCCAAUAGCGUAUAUUAAAGUUGUUGCAGUUAAAAAGCUCGUAGUUGAAUUUUAGGCCUGGCCAGGCGGUCCGUCUUUGGCGAGUACUGUCUUGUUGUCGGGUCUUCCUUCUGGUGAACCAGUAUGUCCUUUAUUGGGUGUGUUGGGGAGCCAGGACCAUUACCUUGAAAAAAUUAGAGUGUUUAAAGCGGGCUAUUGCUUGAAUAGAUUAGCAUGGAAUAAUAGAAUAGGACGUUGUGGUUCUAUUUUGUUGGUUUCUAGGACCACCGUAAUGAUUAAUAGGGAUAGUUGGGGGCAUUAGUAUUCAAUUGUCAGAGGUGAAAUUCUUGGAUUUAUUGAAGACUAACUACUGCGAAAGUAUUUGCCAAGGAUGUUUUCAUUAAUCAAGAACGAAAGUUAGGGGAUCGAAGACGAUCAGAUACCGUCGUAGUCUUAACCAUAAACUAUGCCGACUAGGAAUCGGGCGACGUUAUUUCACGACUCGCUCGGCGCCUUACGG